AUUGAACGCUGGCGGCAUGCCUUACACAUGCAAGUCGAACGGCAGCACGGGUGCUUGCACCUGGUGGCGAGUGGCGAACGGGUGAGUAAUACAUCGGAACGUACCUUAUCGUGGGGGAUAACGCAGCGAAAGCUGUGCUAAUACCGCAUACGCCCUGAGGGGGAAAGCGGGGGAGCGCAAGACCUCGCGCGAUUAGAGCGGCCGAUGCCUGAUUAGCUUGUUGGUGGGGUAAAAGCCCACCGAGGCGACGAUCAGUAGCUGGUCUGAGAGGACGAUCAGCCACACUGGGACUGAGACACGGCCCAGACUCCUACGGGAGGCAGCAGUGGGGAAUUUUGGACAAUGGGGGCAACCCUGAUCCAGCAAUGCCGCGUGAGUGAAGAAGGCCUUCGGGUUGUAAAGCUCUUUUGUCAGGGAAGAAACACCGGCUCUAACACAGUCCGGGAAUGACGGUACCUGAAGAAUAAGCACCGGCUAACUACGUGCCAGCAGCCGCUGUAA
This 501-nucleotide ribosomal RNA is filed under the name uncultured bacterium. RNAcentral describes it as "partial 16S ribosomal RNA". It matches the Rfam family "Bacterial small subunit ribosomal RNA", at positions 29 to 523 of the family's 1533-position model. The record is from RNAcentral.